GACGAACGCUGGCGGCGCGCCUAACACAUGCAAGUCGAGCGAUGAAAAGAAGACAGAAGCCCUCGGGCAGACGUCAUCUUGGAUUAGCGGCGGACGGGUGAGUAACAGGUGAGUAACCUACCUUUGACACAGGGAUAGCCUCGGGAAACCGGGAUUAAUACCUGAUGACAUUACACUAUCGCAUGAUAGAGUAAUCAAAGAACUUCGGUCAAAGAUGGACUCGCCACUGAUUAGCUGGUUGGUGAGAUAACAGCCCACCAAGGCAACGAUCAGUAGCCGGCCUGAGAGGGUGAACGGCCACAUUGGAACUGAGACACGGUCCAAACUCCUACGGGAGGCAGCAGUGGGGAAUAUUGCACAAUGGGGGAAACCCUGAUGCAGCGACGCCGCGUGAGCGAAGAAGGUAUUCGUAUCGUAAAGCUCUGUCCUAUGGGAAGAUAAUGACGGUACCAUAGGAGGAAGCUCCGGCUAACUACGUGCCAGCAGCCGCGGUAAUACGUAGGGAGCAAGCGUUGUCCGGAAUCGCUGGGCGUAAAGGGUUCGCAGGCGGCAAUGCAAGUCUCGUGUGAAAGGCAAGGGCUCAACCCUUGUAAGCACAAGAAACUGCAUAGCUUGAGUAGUGGAGAGGCAAGUGGAAUUCCUAGUGUAGCGGUGAAAUGCGUAGAUAUUAGGAGGAAUACCGGUGGCGAAGGCGACUUGCUGGACACAAACUGACGCUGAGGAACGAAAGCGUGGGGAGCAAACAGGAUUAGAUACCCUGGUAGUCCACGCCGUAAACGAUGAGUGCUAGGUGUCGGGGGAGACCUCGGUGCCGCAGUAAACACAAUAAGCACUCCGCCUGGGGAGUACGUGCGCAAGCAUGAAACUCAAAGGAAUUGACGGGGACCCGCACAAGCAGCGGAGCAUGUGGUUUAAUUCGAAGCAACGCGAAGAACCUUACCAGGACUUGACAUAUAUAUGCCGGUAUUAGAGAUAGUACCUUUUCUUCGGAAACAUAUAUACAGGUGGUGCAUGGUUGUCGUCAGCUCGUGUCGUGAGAUGUUGGGUUAAGUCCCGCAACGAGCGCAACCCUUACCUUUAGUUGCCAGCAAGUAAAGUUGGGCCCUCUAAAGGGACUGCCGAUGAUAAAUCGGAGGAAGGUGGGGAUGACGUCAAAUCAUCAUGCCCUAUAUGUCCUGGGCUACACACGUGCUACAAUGGUCGGUACAGAGAGCAGCAAAAGAGUGAUCUCAAGCAAAUCUCAAAAAGCCGAUCCCAGUUCGGAUUGUUCUCCGCAACUCGAGAACAUGAAGCCGGAGUUGCUAGUAAUCGCAGAUCAGCAUGCUGCGGUGAAUGCGUUUCCCGGGUCU
This 1349-nucleotide ribosomal RNA is filed under the name uncultured bacterium. RNAcentral's name for it is "bacterial SSU rRNA". It matches the Rfam family "Bacterial small subunit ribosomal RNA", at positions 28 to 1381 of the family's 1533-position model. The record is from RNAcentral.